RNAcentral lists this long non-coding RNA (409 nucleotides) under Homo sapiens (human). Its description in RNAcentral is "non-protein coding lnc-HBZ-2:1". The record is from RNAcentral. Lineage: Eukaryota; Metazoa; Chordata; Mammalia; Primates; Hominidae.
GUUCCGCGGUGCUGUCUGGAGCCGUACGGUUCGCGUUUGGGGCACAGGGGCCCCUCUUGCUGGUGCGGAUGGGAAAGGCGCGGGGUCGAGUCAGCGUCCCUCUCGAUGUUGGUUUCUUCGUUUUACAAAUAACACUUGGGCGGGGCGCGGUGGCUCACGCCUGUAAUCCCAGCAUUUUGGGAGGCCGAGGCGGGCGGAUCACGAGGUCAGGAGAUCGAGACCAUCCUAGCUAACAUAGUGAAACCCCAUCUCUACUAAAAAUUAGAAGAAAUUAUCCGGGCGUGGUGGCAGGCGCCCGUAAUCCUAGAGGAGAAUCGCUUGAACCCGGGAGGCGGAGGUUGCAUUGAGCCAAGAUCACGCCAUUGCACUCCACCCUGGGCGACAGAGCGACGAGACCCCGUAUCAAAAA